GCCGGUUCGGCGCCCCGGCUACUUGCCCACGGCCGGCCAGGCGGCGGCCGUCGCUCCCAGCCUACGGCCACAUCGGCGCCUUUGCUUCUCGCCCGCGGCCAGCCAAGCGGCAUUGCUGGUGCCGCUGCUCCUCGCCCGCGGCCAACUCAUCGCCGCAGCUCCUCAAGAGCAGGACGCGCGCAGUGCCGCUGCUAUGGUUCCCCACCGGCGCAUGCUGCGAUUUGAUUGGCUGGAAGCUUCUAGCGAGAUACUGUGCGCCCGAGGGUCUUAUCCCUUCCAUGGCUUCGUCUCCUCCUUCCCCUCUUCUGCUUCUUUCUUCCCGUGUCUGUGACUGACGCUUCCUCUUCUCGCGCUGCCACUGCCGUCGCCUCCGCCCCUGCUCCCACGUUCUCCAGCUCUAGCCGUGGCUUUGCUGGGGUGGUCGCUUCUUUACUGGUGUGUCAUGACCCGGACAUGACGAGAAGAAGACGGAUCGCUGAGUUUACGCUUUCGACGUGGUUAACGUUUUGAACUUUGCUUUUUAGCUGUCGUUAGCUGUGUGGGGCCGAAGCCGAGUCUGUAAUGGCUUAUAAGCCAAGUCCUGUGAGGGAGAACGCAUAAAACAAAAAUUAAGUGAAAUCGGAAGAGGAACCAUUCCUCGUCCCUCCCCAAUCUCCCUGUAUAAUCUCACGCCUCGAUUUCGAUCGUUGGCCACAGGUGCUGCAGUGCUUACAGUGGUACCAGAUUCAUCGAUCCUCGGCGGUGGGGCUCGCGGCGUUGUUGGCGGCGGGGUGUUGUUCCGGUGGCGGUGUAGGCGGCGGUAGACUUCGCACGGGGACCUUCUGCGGCGCAUCUCUCGAUCGCCGUUGAGUUCGGGCUCGGUUUGCGGUGGAUUCAUCACGGCUCCUCCAAGGCCUUCCGUGCAGACGUAGUUCAUUCUGGAGGCAAUGACAUCUUUAGAGGAGCGCGAUUCAGCAUGUUGGGAUCAGGUGUUCGAGUCGAUCGAUUUGCUGUACGCGAAGGUGGGGGAGAUGGACACUACUCAGCAGCGUAUGUCGACUCAGAUGGAUCUGGGUAAUCAAGUGAUGGAGCAGAUACUGAAGGAUCAGCAGACCCUCGCUCAGCAAAUGGAAGCUACUAGACAAGCUAUUGCUCGGUUUUCUCAGAAUGUUCCUUCUCAACCUGAUCCCCACCAUCAUCAGCGACCAGUCGUCGAUCCACCUCCACACCGUCGGACUCCUCCUCCUGUUUCAGCUGGUGAACACUUUGUUUGGUUGGAUCUAAGCCCAGGUAAUUUUCCUUUUGGUAUAGUGCGUAACUGUUCUUUGAUUUGCCCAUGCAAACCAUUUCCUUAUUGAUUUUUAGAUUAGUGCGUACAAAUUUACCAGGCACGGUUAGAUAUUAUUAUAAUGGAGUUUGAUUCUAUUAAGAUCUAUUUCCGCUCCCGUACAUCCAUUUUUGCUAGGUUUAGUUUCUCCCGUACACCCAUUUUUGCUACAUUUAGUUUCCUUUAUGUUUCGAGCCCCUGUGUACGUCCACAUCUUAUAGCAUUGGUGCAGAUCCAUGUGCUGGUUGUUUCAAUUAAUAUAACAUGCUUCAUUUGUUUAGAUGUGCCUCUCCUUAAAUUUAAUUUUUCCCUUAAAAUGUAUAUCUGCAUUAUGAUGCUUCAUUUAGGGCAAAUCACAAGCAAGCACACGGUAAGUUACAACCACUUUUACAGCAUCUUUCUACAUCUCUUUUUACUGUCGAUUUUAUGAUGCAGUGUUCUUCUGAUUCAAAUAAAUAUAUAUACUCAUAUACAGUUACAUGUGAAAAGAGGCUGUGGGCUAUUCGAGAGAGUGGUUCAUAUGACUACAGGAGUCAUUGAUUAAGCAGGUCAGAUGGGCUUAGUAGGGCUCGCGAAACCUUUCCUUGACAAAAACAUUCUCAGCUAAUAGCAGCCGAGCUAUCUAUCCAGAUCAGGGUUGAACGAAGCGAAUGGAAAAGCCAAAGAAAACAUAAAUCCAUUGCGAUUAGAAACCUGUGUGGCUUUGUUGACCAGUGCAAAGGCCCGACAACCAUUCUGAGAGUCGAAGAGCAUUAGUGAAGCGAGAGGAGGACAAGAUGGUUGGGAAGAGGAGGAAGGGGUAUUAAGGAUAUGUACAUAUACCUACAUUUUUAUUUGUAAAUACAGAUAUAGUAUUAGUUAGAGAUACAAAUGUCUCCCCUUUCAAUAGUUAGAGGCUGAAAACUAAGGAUGACAAUUGAUCUGGCAUUGCUUUCUAACAAAAAAAAUAAUCUCUUCUCUCUCCUAUGAGUAGUACUUUGACAACUUUAUGAUUUUCCCUUAUCUUCCUAAUGAAAAUUGCUUUUUUCUCCCCAUAUGCAUUACACAACAGCUCUUUCGGGUCCUCUAAAGUUAAUAUGGUGAAGUUCUUUAGCUAAAUCUGUCCAAAUUAAAUUGCAUGAUCCAUGGUGCUCCCCACCUUCCCCCCC
Molecule: RNA transcript, 2454 nt
Organism: Panicum hallii
Lineage: Eukaryota; Viridiplantae; Streptophyta; Magnoliopsida; Poales; Poaceae
Exons: 3
Source: RefSeq, a predicted model, not a curated record